GAUGAACGCUGGCGGCGUGCCUAAUACAUGCAAGUCGAGCGAACAGACGAGGAGCUUGCUCCUCUGACGUUAGCGGCGGACGGGUGAGUAACACGUGGAUAACCUACCUAUAAGACUGGGAUAACUUCGGGGAACCGGAGCUAAUACCGGAUAAUAUAUUGAACCGCAUGGUUCAAUAGUGAAAGACGGUUUUGCUGUCACUUAUAGAUGGAUCCGCGCCGCAUUAGCUAGUUGGUAAGGUAACGGCUUACCAAGGCGACGAUGCGUAGCCGACCUGAGAGGGUGAUCAGCCACACUGGAACUGAGACACGGUCCAGACUCCUACGGGAGGCAGCAGUAGGGAAUCUUCCGCAAUGGGCGAAAGCCUGACGGAGCAACGCCGCGUGAGUGAUGAAGGUCUUCGGAUCGUAAAACUCUGUUAUUAGGGAAGAACAAAUGUGUAAGUAACUAUGCACGUCUUGACGGUACCUAAUCAGAAAGCCACGGCUAACUACGUG
Molecule: ribosomal RNA, 497 nt
Filed under: uncultured bacterium
Lineage: Bacteria
Description: partial 16S ribosomal RNA
Rfam family: Bacterial small subunit ribosomal RNA
Source: RNAcentral